This 262-nucleotide ribosomal RNA is filed under the name Deltaproteobacteria bacterium. RNAcentral describes it as "partial 23S ribosomal RNA". It matches the Rfam family "Bacterial large subunit ribosomal RNA", at positions 1 to 258 of the family's 2925-position model. The record is from RNAcentral. Lineage: Bacteria; Pseudomonadati; Myxococcota; Myxococcia. RNAcentral also lists the same sequence under 1 other name.
AUAGGGUCAAGACAUCAAGGGCAUUCGGUGGAUGCCUUGGCAUCGGAGAGCGACGAAGGACGUGGUAGGCUACGAUAAUCCGCGGGGAGCUGCGAGCAAGCUUAGAUCCGCGGGAUUCCGAAUGGGGAAACCCGGCCGGGGUAAUGCCCGGUCAUUGCUGCCUGAAUACAUAGGGCAGUAAGGCGAACCCGGGGAAGUGAAACAUCUCAGUACCCGGAGGAAAAGAAAUCAAUUGAGAUUCCCUGAGUAGCGGCGAGCGAAC